RNAcentral lists this ribosomal RNA (398 nucleotides) under uncultured bacterium. RNAcentral's name for it is "partial 16S ribosomal RNA". It matches the Rfam family "Bacterial small subunit ribosomal RNA", at positions 523 to 918 of the family's 1533-position model. The record is from RNAcentral.
AUACGUAGGUGGCGAGCGUUGUCCGGAAUUACUGGGCGUAAAGAGCUCGUAGGUGGUUUGUCGCGUCGUCUGUGAAAUUCCGGGGCUUAACUCCGGGCGUGCAGGCGAUACGGGCAUAACUUGAGUACUGUAGGGGAGACUGGAAUUCCUGGUGUAGCGGUGAAAUGCGCAGAUAUCAGGAGGAACACCGGUAGCGAAGGCGGGUCUCUGGGCAGUAACUGACGCUGAGGAGCGAAAGCAUGGGUAGCGAACAGGAUUAGAUACCCUGGUAGUCCAUGCCGUAAACGGUGGGCGCUAGGUGUAGGGGUCUUCCACGACUUCUGUGCCGUAGCUAACGCAUUAAGCGCCCCGCCUGGGGAGUACGGCCGCAAGGCUAAAACUCAAAGGAAUUGACGGGG